GAGUUCAGAAGUCUUCUGGAAAGUGCACCACCAUUUCUAGAUUGUGGCUCAUAUGCCAAUGGUUACAUAACAUGCAAAAGGUUAAAUAUUUGCUGUUUUUUAGCAAACUAAUUGACACAGCUAGGAUAUGAGGUAAUAUCCAGGAAUUCCAGGGGAGGACAAAGUGUCCUGCGAACUUGAAAAUUCAACAUUGCCCGAGGAAUCCUGCAGUCAUCUCUUCACUUCCCAGAACCAGAGAUGACUCUUGAACCCUGUAACUGUGAUAGUCAAAUAUAACACAGAACAUCUUAAAAAAAAAAAACCUAGAACAAAAGAGGGUCUGCUGUCCUGCUAGACUCAAAGAUCCCCAGCAUAAAGCCAGAGAUGUUUCAAAAGUCAAGAUCUUUCAAGAAGGAAAAUUUUACCUGCUCAAUAAUGACUUCCCUGGUGAUGUGACUGAAUCAGGACCCAAAGAUGCCAAAAAAUACUCUUAGCUCUCCCUCUUGGCUCCAAGCACCACCAUGCUAAGGUAGGGCUU
Long non-coding RNA from Myodes glareolus (Bank vole), 517 nucleotides. RefSeq lists it as uncharacterized. Lineage: Eukaryota; Metazoa; Chordata; Mammalia; Rodentia; Cricetidae. The record is from RefSeq and is a predicted model, not a curated record.